UNGACAGACAGGCAAGCUUAACAUGGAA
Molecule: non-coding RNA, 28 nt
Filed under: Mus musculus (house mouse)
Lineage: Eukaryota; Metazoa; Chordata; Mammalia; Rodentia; Muridae
Source: RNAcentral